GAGUUUGAUCCUGGCUCAGGAUGAACGCUGGCGGCAUGCCUAACACAUGCAAGUUGAACGAGAAGUUCUGGAGGGAGUCUUCGGACGAACGAAGGGAUGGAAAGUAGCGAACGGGUGAGUAACGCGUGGGCAACCAACCUUACACAGGGGGAUAACACAGAGAAAUCUGUGCUAAUACCGCAUAAGCGCACAGUAUCACAUGAUACGGUGUGAAAAACUCUGGUGGUGUAAGACGGGCCCGCGUCUGAUUAGCUAGUUGGUGGGGUAAAAGCCUACCAAGGCGACGAUCAGUAGCCGACCUGAGAGGGUGAUCGGCCACAUUGGGACUGAGACACGGCCCAAACUCCUACGGGAGGCAGCAGUGGGGGAUAUUGCACAAUGGAGGAAACUCUGAUGCAGCAAUGCCGCGUGAAGGAAGACGGUUUUCGGAUUGUAAACUUCUAUCAGCAGGGAAGAAAAUGACGUACCUGACUAAGAGCCCCGC
RNAcentral lists this ribosomal RNA (484 nucleotides) under Lachnospiraceae bacterium canine oral taxon 161. RNAcentral's name for it is "bacterial SSU rRNA". It matches the Rfam family "Bacterial small subunit ribosomal RNA", at positions 9 to 496 of the family's 1533-position model. Lineage: Bacteria; Bacillati; Bacillota; Clostridia; Lachnospirales; Lachnospiraceae. The record is from RNAcentral.